GAUGAACGCUGGCGGCGGGCCUAACACAUGCAAGUCGAGCGAACGGACGAGAAUUUUGCUUCUCUGCUGUUACCGGCGGGCGGGUGAGUCACACGUGUAUACCCGACCUAUAAGACUGAGAUCCCUUCGGGAGACCUGAUCUAACACCGGACGUUAUGGUGAACCGCAUGGUUCAAAAGACAAAGACGUACUUGCUGUCACUUAUUGAUGGAUCCGCGCUGCAUUAGCUAGUUGGUAAGGUAACGGCCUACCAAGGCAACGAUGCAUAGCCGACCUGAGAGGGUGAUCAGCCACACUGGAACUGAGACACGGUCCAGACUCCUACGGGAGGCAGCAGUAGGGAAUAUUCCGCAAUGGGCGAAAGCCUGACGGAGCCACGCCGCGUGAGUGAUGAAGGUCUUCGGAUCGUAAAACUCUGUUAGUAGGGAGGAAGGUAAGUGUGUGUAACUGUGCACAUCUUGACGGUACCUACACAGAAAGCCACGGCUAACUACGUG
RNAcentral lists this ribosomal RNA (497 nucleotides) under uncultured bacterium. RNAcentral describes it as "partial 16S ribosomal RNA". It matches the Rfam family "Bacterial small subunit ribosomal RNA", at positions 28 to 507 of the family's 1533-position model. The record is from RNAcentral.